RNAcentral lists this ribosomal RNA (362 nucleotides) under uncultured bacterium. Its description in RNAcentral is "bacterial SSU rRNA". It matches the Rfam family "Bacterial small subunit ribosomal RNA", at positions 28 to 396 of the family's 1533-position model. The record is from RNAcentral.
GACGAACGCUGGCGGCGUGCUUAACACAUGCAAGUCGAACGAUGAAGCCUUCGGGUGGAUUAGUGGCGAACGGGUGAGUAACACGUGGGUAAUCUGCCCUGCACUCUGGGAUAAGCCUUGGAAACGGGGUCUAAUACCGGAUAUCACACUUCUAGGCAUCUAGUGGUGUUGAAAGUUUUGGCGGUGCAGGAUGAACCCGCGGCCUAUCAGCUUGUUGGUGGGGUAGUGGCCUACCAAGGCGACGACGGGUAGCCGGCCUGAGAGGGUGACCGGCCACACUGGGACUGAGACACGGCCCAGACUCCUACGGGAGGCAGCAGUGGGGAAUAUUGCACAAUGGGCGAAAGCCUGAUGCAGCGACG